RNAcentral lists this ribosomal RNA (1675 nucleotides) under Escherichia coli. Its description in RNAcentral is "partial 23S ribosomal RNA". It matches the Rfam family "Bacterial large subunit ribosomal RNA", at positions 1270 to 2925 of the family's 2925-position model. RNAcentral also lists the same sequence under 1 other name. The record is from RNAcentral. Lineage: Bacteria; Pseudomonadati; Pseudomonadota; Gammaproteobacteria; Enterobacterales; Enterobacteriaceae.
AUGCUGGAGGUAUCAGAAGUGCGAAUGCUGACAUAAGUAACGAUAAAGCGGGUGAAAAGCCCGCUCGCCGGAAGACCAAGGGUUCCUGUCCAACGUUAAUCGGGGCAGGGUGAGUCGACCCCUAAGGCGAGGCCGAAAGGCGUAGUCGAUGGGAAACAGGUUAAUAUUCCUGUACUUGGUGUUACUGCGAAGGGGGGACGGAGAAGGCUAUGUUGGCCGGGCGACGGUUGUCCCGGUUUAAGCGUGUAGGCUGGUUUUCCAGGCAAAUCCGGAAAAUCAAGGCUGAGGCGUGAUGACGAGGCACUACGGUGCUGAAGCAACAAAUGCCCUGCUUCCAGGAAAAGCCUCUAAGCAUCAGGUAACAUCAAAUCGUACCCCAAACCGACACAGGUGGUCAGGUAGAGAAUACCAAGGCGCUUGAGAGAACUCGGGUGAAGGAACUAGGCAAAAUGGUGCCGUAACUUCGGGAGAAGGCACGCUGAUAUGUAGGUGAAGUCCCUCGCGGAUGGAGCUGAAAUCAGUCGAAGAUACCAGCUGGCUGCAACUGUUUAUUAAAAACACAGCACUGUGCAAACACGAAAGUGGACGUAUACGGUGUGACGCCUGCCCGGUGCCGGAAGGUUAAUUGAUGGGGUUAGCGCAAGCGAAGCUCUUGAUCGAAGCCCCGGUAAACGGCGGCCGUAACUAUAACGGUCCUAAGGUAGCGAAAUUCCUUGUCGGGUAAGUUCCGACCUGCACGAAUGGCGUAAUGAUGGCCAGGCUGUCUCCACCCGAGACUCAGUGAAAUUGAACUCGCUGUGAAGAUGCAGUGUACCCGCGGCAAGACGGAAAGACCCCGUGAACCUUUACUAUAGCUUGACACUGAACAUUGAGCCUUGAUGUGUAGGAUAGGUGGGAGGCUUUGAAGUGUGGACGCCAGUCUGCAUGGAGCCGACCUUGAAAUACCACCCUUUAAUGUUUGAUGUUCUAACGUGGACCCGUAAUCCGGGUUGCGGACAGUGUCUGGUGGGUAGUUUGACUGGGGCGGUCUCCUCCUAAAGAGUAACGGAGGAGCACGAAGGUUGGCUAAUCCUGGUCGGACAUCAGGAGGUUAGUGCAAUGGCAUAAGCCAGCUUGACUGCGAGCGUGACGGCGCGAGCAGGUGCGAAAGCAGGUCAUAGUGAUCCGGUGGUUCUGAAUGGAAGGGCCAUCGCUCAACGGAUAAAAGGUACUCCGGGGAUAACAGGCUGAUACCGCCCAAGAGUUCAUAUCGACGGCGGUGUUUGGCACCUCGAUGUCGGCUCAUCACAUCCUGGGGCUGAAGUAGGUCCCAAGGGUAUGGCUGUUCGCCAUUUAAAGUGGUACGCGAGCUGGGUUUAGAACGUCGUGAGACAGUUCGGUCCCUAUCUGCCGUGGGCGCUGGAGAACUGAGGGGGGCUGCUCCUAGUACGAGAGGACCGGAGUGGACGCAUCACUGGUGUUCGGGUUGUCAUGCCAAUGGCACUGCCCGGUAGCUAAAUGCGGAAGAGAUAAGUGCUGAAAGCAUCUAAGCACGAAACUUGCCCCGAGAUGAGUUCUCCCUGACUCCUUGAGAGUCCUGAAGGAACGUUGAAGACGACGACGUUGAUAGGCCGGGUGUGUAAGCGCAGCGAUGCGUUGAGCUAACCGGUACUAAUGAACCGUGAGGCUUAACCUU